CGCGUAGGCUGUUUUGUAAGUCGGAUGUGAAAUCCCCGGGCUUAACCUGGGAACUGCAUUCGAUACUGCUUAACUAGAGUAUGGUAGAGGGAAGUGGAAUUUCCGGUGUAGCGGUGAAAUGCGUAGAUAUCGGAAGGAACACCAGUGGCGAAGGCGACUUCCUGGGCCAAUACUGACGCUGAGGUGCGAAAGCGUGGGGAGCAAACA
RNAcentral lists this ribosomal RNA (207 nucleotides) under uncultured bacterium. RNAcentral's name for it is "partial 16S ribosomal RNA". It matches the Rfam family "Bacterial small subunit ribosomal RNA", at positions 568 to 774 of the family's 1533-position model. The record is from RNAcentral.